GGAGAGGUGGCUCAGAGGUUAAGAGCACUGACUGUUCUUCCAGAGGUCCUGAGUUCAAUUCCCAGCACCUACA
This 73-nucleotide transfer RNA is filed under the name Neotoma lepida (desert woodrat). It matches the Rfam family "tRNA". From Rfam's summary of the family: Transfer RNA (tRNA) molecules are approximately 80 nucleotides in length. Their secondary structure includes four short double-helical elements and three loops (D, anti-codon, and T loops). Further hydrogen bonds mediate the characteristic L-shaped molecular structure. tRNAs have two regions of fundamental functional importance: the anti-codon, which is responsible for specific mRNA codon recognition, and the 3' end, to which the tRNAs corresponding amino acid is attached (by aminoacyl-tRNA synthetases). tRNAs cope with the degeneracy of the genetic code in two manners: having more than one tRNA (with a specific anti-codon) for a particular amino acid; and 'wobble' base-pairing, i.e. permitting non-standard base-pairing at the 3rd anti-codon position. Lineage: Eukaryota; Metazoa; Chordata; Mammalia; Rodentia; Cricetidae. The record is from Rfam by way of RNAcentral.